This 84-nucleotide transfer RNA is filed under the name Texcoconibacillus texcoconensis. RNAcentral describes it as "tRNA-Leu". It matches the Rfam family "tRNA". From Rfam's summary of the family: Transfer RNA (tRNA) molecules are approximately 80 nucleotides in length. Their secondary structure includes four short double-helical elements and three loops (D, anti-codon, and T loops). The record is from RNAcentral. Lineage: Bacteria; Bacillati; Bacillota; Bacilli; Caryophanales; Bacillaceae.
GCCGGUGUGGCGGAAUUGGCAGACGCGUGCGACUCAAAAUCGCAUUCCUCUGGAGUGUGGGUUCGAGUCCCACCACCGGUACCA